RNAcentral lists this transfer RNA (63 nucleotides) under Utterbackia imbecillis (paper pondshell). RNAcentral describes it as "tRNA-Asp". The record is from RNAcentral. Lineage: Eukaryota; Metazoa; Mollusca; Bivalvia; Unionida; Unionidae.
AAAGAAUUAGUUAAUAUAUAAUUUGGGUUUGUCAAACCUAAGUUGCCUGUAUGGCAUUCUUUU